Molecule: long non-coding RNA, 357 nt
Organism: Cydia strobilella
Lineage: Eukaryota; Metazoa; Arthropoda; Insecta; Lepidoptera; Tortricidae
Exons: 3
Source: RefSeq, a predicted model, not a curated record
AACAUUUUUAACCGACUUCAAGAUUUCAAAGGAGGAGGUUCUCAAUUCGGUUGUAUGUUUUUUUUAUGUUUGUUACUCCAUAACUCCGUCAUUUCUGGGCCGAUUUUGAAAAUUCUUUUUUUGAUUGUAAGUAUAUAUAUACAGAUUGGUCACGUUUUUGUCAAAACACAGUUCUGAUAAUGGGAUCCAUGAGGAAUUGAGGGAACUCCUCAAAUGUGAAAGGCGUAUAGUGAUUUUUGUAUUUUCAUCAACAAAUCCAGCAUUUCCAUUUAAAAAAGUGACAUUUGAUGAAGUGGAGCUGCUGAUGAUGAUCAGAAUUGAACUCUUCAACGACACAUAGUUCACGUUUGGCGAUUU